RNAcentral lists this ribosomal RNA (442 nucleotides) under uncultured Bacteroides sp. RNAcentral's name for it is "bacterial SSU rRNA". It matches the Rfam family "Bacterial small subunit ribosomal RNA", at positions 355 to 794 of the family's 1533-position model. Lineage: Bacteria; Pseudomonadati; Bacteroidota; Bacteroidia; Bacteroidales; Bacteroidaceae. The record is from RNAcentral.
UGAGGAAUAUUGGUCAAUGGACGAAAGUCUGAACCAGCCAUGCCGCGUGAAGGAAUAAGGCCCUAUGGGUCGUAAACUUCUUUUGUAUGUGAGCAAUAAGGUCCACGUGUGGACCGAUGAGAGUAGCAUACGAAUAAGCAUCGGCUAACUCCGUGCCAGCAGCCGCGGUAAUACGGAGGAUGCAAGCGUUAUCCGGAUUCAUUGGGUUUAAAGGGAGCGUAGGCCGUCGUUUAAGCGUGUUGUGAAAUGCCGCGGCUCAACCGUGGCACUGCAGCGCGAACUGGAUGACUUGAGUUCGCGGGAGGUAGGCGGAAUUCGUGGUGUAGCGGUGAAAUGCUUAGAUAUCACGAAGAACUCCGAUUGCGAAGGCAGCUUACCGUAGCGUUACUGACGCUGAAGCUCGAAAGUGCGGGUAUCGAACAGGAUUAGAUACCCUGGUAGU